GGGGAGUUGGAGGCUGCAGUAAGCUGUGAUUGCACCACUGCACUCCAGCCUGGGCCAUAGAAUGAGACCCUGUUUCCAAAAAAAAAAAAAACAAAUAAUUUUAAGACUCAACGUUUUGUAUACAGUCCUUAUUCUAACUCUGAAUCUAAUAUUUAACCAAAAGUUACACAUCUCAAGCCAGGUUCACCCAGAACACUGCUAGAGAGGAUCGACCACCUUAACCCCACCCAGCUUCAAGCUUUACAAGGAGACCCAAGCUGCACACGGGCCUCUGCUUACGAUGCUGAAGAGAAGGUGCCUCGGUGGCUUGCUGCUCCCUCCUGUCUUUGCUCCAAUAGCACCUCUGCAUGGAGGCCUGCCUUGACCUUCUUGCCCCAAGUCAGAAAGCCAUCAUCCAGAAUUUGAAAAUGAUAGCUUUUCAUUGGUAUAUCUAUACCGAUGGAUCUAUUGAUUGACUUAUUGAUAGAUAUAGUGCCCUCCUUAACUUGCUUUUGGCCUGACCUGUCUGGAGUGCAGUGGCAUGAUUUCAGCUCACUGCAGCCUCCACCUUUUGGGCUCAAGCGAUCCUCCCACUUCAGCCUCCUGAGUAGGUGGGAUUACAGGCAUGCACCACCACGCCCAGCUAAUUUGUGUAUUUUUAGAAGAGACGGGGUUUUGCCAUGUUGCCCAGGCUGGUCUCGAACUCCUGAACUCAAGUAAUCCGCCCGCCUCAGCCUCCCAAAGUGCUGGGAUUACAGGCAUGAGCCACGGCACCCGGCCUCAAGGGGAUUCUUAAUGUAAUUGUUCACUUUACAUUAUAUAAAAAUGUAAAAUGAUUACUUUUUAUAUAAUUAUAUAUGUAUAUCUCUAAAUUUAUACUUUCUUGGUUUCCCU
RNAcentral lists this long non-coding RNA (873 nucleotides) under Homo sapiens (human). RNAcentral's name for it is "HSALNT0282333". The record is from RNAcentral. Lineage: Eukaryota; Metazoa; Chordata; Mammalia; Primates; Hominidae.